GAUCCUGCCAAAGACUUCCGUAGCAAAUCUGCGGAUUGAGCUCCUCGGUAUCAGAAGAUUCAACCAAGGGUGUGGAACUUCCCAGAGGCUUUGUGCCCUCAGCUUCAGCUCAGAGGUGUGCACCCUGUCCAAAAACUCCAGGUACGUGACAUCGGUGUGGAAUAGAGUAGACUGUAUGAAUCUAAGCCGAGAUAGCAGUACAGCAACUUCCUGUAAACAUAAAAUUUACAGUUAUUAUCAUUGGAGUCUAAUAUCUUGGUGCAAAGUGAAAUAACAGGCUCACCUGUUCCAUGGUAUCAGUGUCGCCACUAUUGAAGUUCUUGGUUAGUUCGAGGCAGUAUAGCACUCUUCCAUCUGACUGGAAAUGGCUUGCUUGGACUGGGUCCUGUGGCUUGAAGGACGCCCUCCAGUUGUUGAGGAUGCCUGUCCUGUUUAUGAUGACAAAACCUUCAAUGUAGUCAAAGGAGUUCUCUGCCAUGAUCAACAUCUCCUGGUCUUCGGUGAAGCUUUCAAAAUCCGAGCUCAAGUGCAAUCCUUGCUCUGGUUAUGAUCCCGAACUGACCAAGACCGCCGAGAGCAGCAUAGAAGAGAUCAGAGUUAUCCUCGGGUGAGCAGGUACUCGAUGGAUACUUGCUACCAGCGGUGUAUAUAGGUACCGUUGAACCAAGCUCGGGAAACCAUUAUAUUCCCAAGUUUUUAGAAUUUAAUUAUAAGAGGGUGGGUGUUCAUUAGCAGGUACAACCUCGACCAUCGGACGAUCGCAAUUCUUCAAUACAUGGCUUCACCUUCACCACACUUGGGCUUUAGAAAGAAGAAAAAAAGACAACAAAAAUACAUGAUUACAACUAGUGAACUUGACUGGUAUAGAUAUUUAUGGACAGUAUGCUGACCUACGUUGGCAUGUUUCAGAUGCGUGUGCCGUGUCUGGUCUGAAAAACUGUUGUGCACCACAAGCUCUGGUCCAAAGCGCCACGUACGUGCUUUCUUUCUCUGUCAUCUCAGUUGUGUGCCAACGUGAACCUAUGUACAUCAGCGUUCGUGUCGAGCUACGCAGGGGCGCGCGGCAACCUCCUUUAUUUUCCAACUCCCUUUGACCGGUUUUCAUCGGAUCGGUAGUGCCAGAUGCAUGCAUGCGGAAGAGGGAGUGUGUGUGAUGGCAGAGAGCGACCGAAUUGGACGUUCACUGAACCAACGUAUGGAAAAUAACCCAUCGAUCUCAUCUGGCUAGUGCGUUGGUCUAUAUGAUCAAGCUCUGAAAACAGUGACAAAGUAUGAAAACUACAUUGUCUUUUGUAUGCGGAUGCAUUCCCAUGUCGAUGCAUGUAGCAUAUAUGCAAUUGCAAUGCACUAAUACAGUGCAGUGCUAAUAUCUUCUUGUGUGCAAUUGCAAUGCAUGCAGUAGUCAAAAGCUAGAUGCCAUGAGAACCAACCCUAAAAGGCGGUCUAACCAUCUAAGACGGCAACUAGCUAGCGCUGCACUUGGCAUGAUUUCUUUUUUUUAACUACUUUAACCAGCAGGCAGCAGCCAGACCACCUGAUAAUUGUCCAGUGUUUAGGUAGACAGCAGUUAAUCCUCACGCACUGUUCUUCGCUUUGUUCGUGUCAUCAUAUUGCCGGCAUCUUUGAACAUUAUUGUAUCGCUAGCUUUCGACGUCAGCUGCAAAGUAAAAAAAACCACUGACAUAAAAGACUAGCAAAUAGAAUUAAUAUUAAAACUAUCGAUCAAAUCACUAUAGUAAAACAACUCACAUCCGACGACCAUUCAAUAUCCGACAGCUUUCUAUGCUACCGUCGGACGUAAUCUUAUGUCCGAGGACCUCUGGUGACCGUCGGAUAUAAUAGCUCAUGUCCGACGGCUUAUCUAACUUAUAUCCGACGGUCCGAGUGAUAGCCGUUGGAUUUAUCCGAGUGAUAGCCAUUGGAUUUAACCUUAUGUUUGAUGGCCAACCGUCGGACUUAAGCGAUUUCCACGCGCGUGGCCAGGCACCGCCGUUUCAGUUCCACCGCGCGCUGCCCACAAUCAUCUCUCCCGCCGCCGUGGCCAGGCACCGCCCAAGCUCGCUCGCCGCCGCCGCCGCGCUGCUGCUCCCACCGCCACCGUACCCGCUCCCACCGCCACCGCGCUGCCCGCUCCCACCGUCGUCAACCGCCCCGGUGCCCACCACCGCCGCCCCGGCACCUGCUCCGACGUCGGCGUCCCCGACUCGUCCCCCGCCCACGCGAUGACCGUCCCGCCGCCAAGCCGCUAA
Zea mays is the source of this 2249-nucleotide long non-coding RNA. RefSeq lists it as uncharacterized. The transcript has 4 exons. The record is from RefSeq and is a predicted model, not a curated record. Lineage: Eukaryota; Viridiplantae; Streptophyta; Magnoliopsida; Poales; Poaceae.